GACGUAGGGGACGAGCGUUGUCCGGAUUCAUUGGGCGUAAAGCGCGCGUAGGCGGUUACGCAAGUCGGUUGUGAAAACUGGAGGCUUAACCUCCAGACGUCGACGGAAACCGUGUGGCUAGAGUCCGGAAGAGGAGAGUGGAAUUCCUGGUGUAGCGGUGAAAUGCGCAGAUAUCAGGAGGAACACCAAUGGCGAAGGCAGCUCGCUGGGACGUGACUGACGCUGAGACGCGAAAGCGUGGGGAGCAAACAGG
Molecule: ribosomal RNA, 253 nt
Filed under: uncultured bacterium
Lineage: Bacteria
Description: partial 16S ribosomal RNA
Rfam family: Bacterial small subunit ribosomal RNA
Source: RNAcentral